CCCUACGGGGGGCAGCAGUGGGGGAUAUUGCACAAUGGGGGGAACCCUGAUGCAGCGACGCCGCGUGGGUGAAGAAGCGCCUCGGCGCGUAAAGCCCUGUCAGCAGGGAAGAAAAUGACGGUACCUGAAGAAGAAGCCCCGGCUAACUACGUGCCAGCAGCCGCGGUAAUACGUAGGGGGCAAGCGUUAUCCGGAUUUACUGGGUGUAAAGGGGGCGCAGACGGCGAUGCAAGCCAGGAGUGAAAGCCCGGGGCCCAACCCCGGGACUGCUCUUGGAACUGCGUGGCUGGGGUGCAGGAGGGGCA
This 305-nucleotide ribosomal RNA is filed under the name uncultured bacterium. Its description in RNAcentral is "partial 16S ribosomal RNA". It matches the Rfam family "Bacterial small subunit ribosomal RNA", at positions 337 to 659 of the family's 1533-position model. The record is from RNAcentral.